GGCUAUGGAAGUCUCUUGAGUUCACCAACUCUGAACUUAUUUAGUCAAGGCCAUAUCAUAGUGGAGGUUCCUUCCUCCCUUCAGAGAAAGGUGCCUCUUCUUUGAUGGCCCAUUCUUUCUGUUGGGAAACCUGUUGAAGUGAAAUGGACACUAUGAGAAACAAUGACUAGAUCAGCCAUAGUCUUGACUAUUGAGGAAAAACUAUUUUAUUCCUUUUAGUAUUUUUUUGUUCUAAUUAAUACCAUUAGUUUAACUCUGCAAUUAAUACACAAUUAAUCUUAAAUAUAAGAGUGGGAAUAAGAGAGGGAGGAGAUAUACAGGUCGGCACAUGCUCACUCGGACUUACCUCCAAUGGCAGAGCUAGAAAUGUGCCAGGGGAUUCCAAUUCAAUCUCAUCAAGGAGAGUAAUAGAAAUCUGAGUCUUUACAGGAAGCUAUGGGAGAUGAAGUAUUGACAACAGGAAGGUCAAAGUGUGGCUAAAGAGGCUUCACAUUAAGAGUCUGGCUCCCUCCAGGAAACACUCCUGAGCUAGCAAACAACCAAACUUCCCAGGAAAUCCCUGCAUUCUGAAGAUGAGCAUCACAGUUGUGGCCAGGACCAAAGACCUCUUUCUCUAAGCUUCCUAGUGUUUGAGGACAAGCACCAAGUUCACUUGCAAAGAAAUGCCUCUAGACUCAGGUUGGGCCAGUUGCAUAAUGCUGUGUAUUCGCCUCUACACUGAUCUUGCCACUCAGCACAACAACAGAGACAGUUUUCAAAAUUAAAGACAAGCAACAUCAGCACUCUGUUCAUAGCUCCAUAGUUCUUCACUGUUCUUCUAUUUUUCUUAAAUAAAAUUAAGAUAUUAAUUAAGAUAAAAUUAAGGUAUUUUAGAUUUGAUGACAUAAAUAGGAUGAAAUUAAAUGUCUCAAAAAUUUAUGCUGUGUUAAGAGUAAUAAGAAAGGGCUGGAAUGUCUCUUAAAUACACCUUAAGAAAAUUUUUAUAGAAAAAAAAUUUAAAUAUUUUAUUUAUUUAUUUGAGAGGUAGAGUUACAGAGAGAGGGAGAGACAGAGAGAGAGGUCUUCCAUCCACUAGUUCACUCUCCAAAUGGCUGCAUCGGCCAGAGCUGGGCUGAUCCAGAGCCAGGAGCCAGGAGCUUCUUCCAGGUCUCCUAUGCAGGUGCAGGGGCCCAAGCACUUGGGCCAUCUUCAACUGCUAUCCCAGGUCAUAGCAGAGAGCUAGAUCAGAAGAUGAGAAGCCAGACUUGAACUGGUGCCCAUAUGGGAUGCCAGCACUGCAGGCAGUGGCUUUACUCGCUAUGCCACAGCACUGGCCCUCAUUGGGGAAUUGUAUAAUGAUGCAAGCAUCAAUUAUAAAGAUAUAUAUGGAGGCCAGCACUGUGGCAUACCAAGUAAAGCUGUUGCCUUUAGUUCUAGCAUCCCAUACGGGUGCUGGUUCGAGUCCUGGCUACUCCGCUUCUGAUCUAUCUCUCUGCUAUGGCCUGGAAAAGCAGUAGGAGAUGGCACAAGUCCUUGGGGUCCUGUACAGACGUGGGAGACCUGGAAGAAGCUCCUGGCUCCUGGGUUCAGAUUGGCCCAGCUCCAACCAUUGCGGCCAUUUGGGGAGUGACCCAGCAGAUGGAAGAUCUCUCUCUCUCUCUGCCUCUGCCUCUCUGUAACUCUGCUUUUCAAAUAAAUAAAUAAAUCUUUUAAAAAGAUUAUAUAUAUGUUUUAUGUACAUAUGCAUAUAUAUACACAUUGUGUGUGUGUGUGUGUGUAAAUUGUAUAUAUAUGGUUAUCUAAAACAAAACUUCAAAAUUAGUGAAGCAAGGGCUAAUUUAUUUGAAAGGCGAAAUGGACAACUUAACAACAAUAAUUGAAAUCUUCACUAUUCCACAUACAAUAAUAUAUAGAAUCACAGUCUUAGAUCAACAGGGAAACAAGCAAAUGAAGAACACCACAAGCUAAUUAGAUUUAGCAGACAUUUAUAAUAAACGCUGCCCAAUCUACAGAUAUUUUUUACAUAUAUCAUCACUUAAAAAUCAUCAACAUAUCUAUUUUCAUGUAAAGGACAUAAUGUACAAACAGUUUGGGAUUUUCAAAAGCAUAUAUUUUACUUCACAUAAUUAAAAAUUUAGUCAAUGAUGAUUAUGAGCAAAAACGAAUCUGUGAGUAUUAAAGUCAUAUUUGGAUAGUAGCUACUAUAGGAUAGUCUUCUUUGUCAGCGAAGAGCUAGGAUAGGUGACUAUUUUAUAAACCACAGAAAAUACUGAAACAACAAAGUGCUGAUAUAGAAUUGAUGAAUAAUAGGCUCAGACUUCAGAAUAGCAAAAUAUAAAUGUAAAACACAUUGCAUUGAGAAUAAUAAUGCAUGCAGUUAAGCUUUUGUCUUUGAAGCUCUCAGUGUAAUAAAGUUUCUUUUACAAUGUGGCGUGGUCAGUGUUGCCCUGGAUACAAAUUAGUUGAGGUGAUUCAACUACUGGAUACAUAGGUACAGAUUGGAUUUGUUUAUUCUCUUUAACUAUACACUUUUGUUGUACUUCAAUGUGAACUAUUUAUAGUAGAGCUCAAAAAAAUAAAUAAUACCCUAAUAUGGUAGGAAAAUAUAUGUAGAUAAUCAUAAUCCAGCAUGAACUAUGUUAAAUACUUUAAGAAACAAAGUAUCACAGCUAUACAAAGAGAAUAUUGACAGAAACUGAUUCCAUCAUUGAAGAUACAGUGUACCUCUAAAUCUAACAUAAUAAAAACAAACUUUUUCUGGGAAUGAUAUAUGCAUUAUGUUAGUGCUUAG
Non-coding RNA from Oryctolagus cuniculus (rabbit), 2770 nucleotides. Lineage: Eukaryota; Metazoa; Chordata; Mammalia; Lagomorpha; Leporidae. The record is from RefSeq and is a predicted model, not a curated record.